UCACUUGGACACUCUUCUUGGC
Molecule: microRNA, 22 nt
Filed under: Oreochromis niloticus (Nile tilapia)
Lineage: Eukaryota; Metazoa; Chordata; Actinopteri; Cichliformes; Cichlidae
Description: oni-miR-10960
Source: miRBase by way of RNAcentral